CUACGGGUGGCUGCAGUAGGGAAUCUUAGACAAUGGGGGAAACCCUGAUCUAGCCAUGCCGCGUGAGUGAUGAAGGCCUUAGGGUUGUAAAGCUCUUUCGCUGGGGAAGAUAAUGACGGUACCCAGUAAAGAAACCCCGGCUAACUCCGUGCCAGCAGCCGCGGUAAUACGGAGGGGGUUAGCGUUGUUCGGAAUUACUGGGCGUAAAGCGAGCGUAGGCGGGCUAUUAAGUCAGGGGUGAAAUCCCGGGGCUCAACCCCGGAACUGCCUUUGAUACUGGUAGUCUUGAGUUCGAGAGAGGUGAGUGGAAUUCCGAGUGUAGAGGUGAAAUUCGUAGAUAUUCGGAGGAACAUCAGUGGCGAAGGCGACUCACUGGCUCGAUACUGACGCUGAGGUGCGAAAGUGUGGGGAGCAAACAGGAUUAGAUACCCUUGUAGUC
Molecule: ribosomal RNA, 439 nt
Filed under: uncultured bacterium
Lineage: Bacteria
Description: partial 16S ribosomal RNA
Rfam family: Bacterial small subunit ribosomal RNA
Source: RNAcentral